CCCUUGCCCCAUGCCACGGCCUUGCCCCUUCCUGCUUUGUCUUUUCCCUCAGCACCAGCAGCAUCUGAUAUACCCAGAAGCUUCCCUUUUUGUUUGUCGUCUGUCGCUCUGCUAUAGCAGGAAGCCUUCGUGGUCCUGCCUUGCUGCUCCUCCUUGCUCCUGGCCCCACCUUGCUCCAAAGCACAGUCUAUUUCUGCAUGAUUUGCUCACCCGAAAGGGAGAGAUGAAGCACCCGAGCUUCGAGAAGGGUCAUUGGUUUCCCCACGGCCUAAUAGACAAACUCAUGAUAAAAACUUUCCAAAGACAAGUCAGAUGUCCGAGGCUGUCACUCUGCAGGCCUUGGUCGGAUGCCCAGCAGGUGUCAGGACAAGAUCAACUCCAUCACUGGCCCGGCUUGUUGAGAGGGAGGUCUCCACCCCAAACGCUCCAACAGGCCGGUUUGCCCAUCCUCCCCACACUGAGUGUUUUGCAAAGAAAAGAAAGGAAGAUGUUUUCCAUUUGAAAAAACAAGAAAUGCUGGCAAAGCUGAGAGGCAGGGCACUCUCCGCACUGCCGAAAGAACACAGGACAAACCUCUUAGGAAAGCAAUUUGGGCCCCUAUUUUCAAAAUCUAAAAUGCCAUGUCCUUUGAUCUAGCAAUUCUACUUCCAUGAAUUUGUCCUCAGGUAGACUUCCCCAUGUGCACACAAAAGCAGGACGCACCCGAGGACUAGCUGCAGCGUCGCGUUUCAUACCAAGGACAAAACAAUGCAAACGCCCACUAACUGGAGACUGGCAGGGUGAAUUAUGACAGACUCCUGCAAUGAAAUUCUAGGCAGCUUUUGAAAAGAAGGAAGCAAAAUGAAGCCAUAAACGUACUAAGAGGAACCAUAAAUUUCUUUUAUAAUCUCUGAUUUGAGAAGAAGGCCCUUUCAUAUACGACACAAACCUCAAACUGUAAAACAGACGAAUAGGACGACAUUCCCAUUUCUUUCUUUCUUUUUUUUUUGCAUGACCCAGAAGAAAAACAAAAGAAAAACCAAAUCCGUCAAAGAAAAAGCAUAAAACGGUGAGAACAUGUUUCUAACUCAUAGGAUAAUUUUCUUAAAGCAUUCCUGCAAAUCGGUAAGAAAAAGAUGAACAACCCAGCGGGAGAAUGGACCAAGGAUCUGAUUGGACAAUUCACGGAAAAGGAAAUAGAAGUUUCUCUGAAGUAUAUGGGGAAAAAAAUGCUCAACCUUCAUCAAAGAGAACUACAAAUUAAAACUCUCCUGGGAUAUUGUUUCUCAUCUCUUAGAAUGAUGUCUAAUGAGCUACAGUUGAUCUUUGACCCACACGGGUCUGAACUGCACGGGUCCACUGACAUGUGGAUUUUUUUAAAAAAUAAAUGCAGCAUACUGCUGUGCCUGUAUUUUCCCUUCCUUAUGAUUUUCUCAAUAACA
Zalophus californianus (California sea lion) is the source of this 1421-nucleotide long non-coding RNA. RefSeq lists it as uncharacterized. The record is from RefSeq and is a predicted model, not a curated record. NCBI's taxonomy places the organism in Eukaryota, Metazoa, Chordata, Mammalia, Carnivora, Otariidae. The transcript is spliced from 3 exons.